GGGCUCAUAACCCGAAGGUCGUCAGUUCAAAUCUGGCUCCCGCAACCA
This 48-nucleotide transfer RNA is filed under the name Helicobacter sp. RNAcentral describes it as "tRNA-Leu". Lineage: Bacteria; Pseudomonadati; Campylobacterota; Epsilonproteobacteria; Campylobacterales; Helicobacteraceae. The record is from RNAcentral.